UUGUUGCGGCGAGCAGAAAUGCACAUGACCGUCAAUGCCGGCGGCCGUAAGAAUCAUGUGUUCUCCCGAAAUGGCAUCGGUGGAAGGUCCCGUAACCAAGUCAGGCGAAACGCCUUCCAUGAUAUUCGGGUUGCCGGCUUUGCCGAUACCGGCAAUCUUACCGUCUUUCACACCGACAUCCGCUUUCACCACUCCUAAAACAGGGUCGAGAAUCGUGACGUUGGUAAUGACAAGGUCAAGGCUUCCGGCAUCUUCGGUGCAAUCGUUGGCGAGCCCCAUGCCGUCGCG
RNAcentral lists this small RNA (288 nucleotides) under human gut metagenome. RNAcentral describes it as "5' ureB small RNA". It matches the Rfam family "5' ureB small RNA". The record is from RNAcentral.